Molecule: ribosomal RNA, 1025 nt
Filed under: Silurotaenia siluri
Lineage: Eukaryota; Metazoa; Platyhelminthes; Cestoda; Proteocephalidea; Proteocephalidae
Description: eukaryotic LSU rRNA
Rfam family: Eukaryotic large subunit ribosomal RNA
Source: RNAcentral
AGGAUUCCCCUAGUAACGGCGAGUGAAGAGGGAAAAGCCCAGCACCGAAGCCUGCGCAGUUUUGCUGUUAGGCAAUGUGGUGUUUGGGUCGGCUCGUGGGAUCGCCACUCCACUCGAAGUCCAGCAUUGAGUAUGGUUACUGGAUUUGGCCCAGAGAGGGUGAAAGGCCCGUACGGUGGAGGUUCAGACAUGUGAGGCGGUUCACCAGGUCGACCUUAGAGUCGGGUUGUUUGGGAAUGCAGCCCAAAGUGGGUGGUAAACUCCAUCCAAGGCUAAAUACAAGCACGAGUCCGAUAGCGAACAAGUACCGUGAGGGAAAGUUGAAAAGUACUCUGAAGAGAGAGUAAACAGUACGUGAAACCGCAUGCAGGUAAACGGGUGGCGUCAAGCUGCAAGCCCAGAGGAUUCAGCCGACUAGGAUGUAGUGUAUGCGCCUGGCGCAUCUAUCAGCCGGAGUAUGAUUGGAUGGUCCACUGGUAGACAGUGGGCCCGGCGACCUUUGGGUUGUCGGGAUGUGUGUACCGGGUGGGUGCCGGAGCAUGCUGUCCGUCUGGGGGCUGUCUAGUCGGUGCACUUUCUCUGUGGUGAACACCACGACCGGUGGUAUUGCCAGUCUGCUGUGUCCAAGUUGUGCUCGGUAGGUCCUUGUGGCCUGCUGGGUGCGGCGAUCACGAGCAAAUUCAGUAAACGGCGUGGAGGUGUUUUUCGGCACUUCUGCGUGUUAUCGGCUACUGGUUGUUAACGAGCCUGCCCGGUGUGCUGUGUGUAGUCGGCAUCGGGUGGUUCGGUGGGACAUGGUGGUAAGAAUAACUGUGCAAGGCACCGGAGUUAUCGGCCUCAAAUGCGUCCUGUGCAGCUGUGCAGGCUACUACAAAUAGCUGGAUGGUGGUGCCGUUGCUGCCUGCCCGGUGUUGGGUGUGAUCGUCGUGUUGUCUGCGAAAAGUGGACCCGGCGUUGACUCGACUCGGGAUGGGUAGUUGGCGGUGUCGCUGGUGCAGGGUGCUGUGGGCCUAAUAGUCAGUGGU